UACGGAGGGCGCAAGCGGUGUUCGGAAUCAUUGGGCGUAAAGCGCGUGUAGGCGGCUUGGUAAGUCGAGUGUGAAAGCCCGGGGCUCAACCCCGGAAGGUCGCUCGAAACUGCCUCGCUCGAGUCCCGGAGAGGAAGGCGGAAUUCCCGGUGUAGAGGUGAAAUUCGUAGAUAUCGGGAGGAACACCAGCGGCGAAGGCGGCCUUCUGGACGGUGACUGACGCUGAGACGCGAAAGCGUGGGGAGCAAACAGG
Molecule: ribosomal RNA, 253 nt
Filed under: uncultured bacterium
Lineage: Bacteria
Description: partial 16S ribosomal RNA
Rfam family: Bacterial small subunit ribosomal RNA
Source: RNAcentral